GAUUGCGGAGGGGAGGGGGGAGACGCUAAGGGCGGGGAAGAGGCGGCGGCCACCCAGAGGGGGAGCCGAGGCCGGACCGGGAAAGGGUGAGGCGUCGAGGGCGCGGAGGGACGGGUCGCCCGUGUGGAAGGACCCGAGAGAUUGUGGGGGGCGAGGGGGGUGUGCUUGGAGAAAGGCCGGCUGUGGGGAACGAAGCCGCAGGUUCUAAAGGGUCAAGCGCAAAGGCCUGGCGCGGGGAGGCGAAAGCAGGACAGAGGUGAGGCCCAGGUGCGGAGCUGCCCGGGGCGCGGCGCCCGGAGAGGGCGAACCGCGGAGGGAGGGAUCGGCCAACGGCGGCCGGGAGGUGGCGGGCGCGCUGGCCAAGCCCCGGAAAAGCCGCUCCCGAGCCCAACACACCUUUAAGUGCAAACAGCCGGCGAAAGCCUGCCGGCCCUCCCCCUCUCGGGGCGCACGCCCCUCGGUCCCCGAGUCACUCGCUGCCCACCUUGCUGAGUGAAACUUCCGCGCGCGGUUGCGCGGGUCUCGGGGGCGGAGGGGGCUGGACGCUCGGCCACCAAAUGACGCGGUCGCCCCAUGCACGCUGUCGGGCACCGGUGACCCCCACGCCCUUUGCUCUCAACUGCUCCCUUAAUUGCUCCUCCUUGUUCGGUGCUGGCUGCUCGCUGGAGACUGCAGCCUCCUCCGGUCCAGGGGCCCACUUCCUUUGCUUUGCCCUGGGCCCUAAAUAAAAUGUAUCGAAUACCGUACCUGAUGUUUUCCUAAAUCAAGCCAAAGCUAAGCUUUUUGCACAGUUCGUGGCUCAGAUCUCCCGCCCUCCACCUCGUACCAUCGCCUUUGUACUUCUGUGUCGAUUUGGCCAAGUUCCCCGAGCGAUCUCCCUACCCUUGUCCAGCUAAACCUGCCCGGAGCUUGAGCGCCCACCUUCGCGCCCCUCCCAUCGCCCUGCCCUACUGGUCGGACGGCAGUGUGGUGGGUUCUGUCGCCGUUUUCCAGAGAAAAGCGCUGGAGAUGAAGUUUCCUUGGGUUUUUAUGUUUGAACUCGAUCUCUUAUUGAGAACACAACGCCGUCUGAAGUAUUACUCAUUCGGCUCCAAGUAUCCAGCCCUUGAUUGAUAGUGGGAGAACCGGUAACCGUACCCCAAUCACUACAGUAACCCGCGCCAGGUACAAAUCUGAGCCCCUUUCAGGAUGCUCCGGGGACGCUGGAGAUAGGGCUUUGCCGCCCGGGAGGAAGCGCGGACCGAGAGGGCAGGUGGUGGGAGGGUUUCAGGAGCCCGAGGCCGCGUGAAGAGUCGCCGCGCAGAAUUGAUUCCGAGGACUUGGAGCGGAGCUAGACAUCCACGAAGUACUCCACAAAUAUUUGUUGAAAGAUUUUAGCGAGUAACAACACCCAACCGUUUUUGCAGCUGUUUGUCUCCUGAGCUACGGCACAGUUCACUACUGCAGCGGUGAGAUUAUGAAGAGGCGAGUUUAUAGGACUCAGCUUCUCAUCCAUAUAAUUGGGCAUGAUGAUAAUGUGUAUGUCAUAGAUCUUCAGGGGAGAGGAAAUACGUAAAGAAGUGUCUUCUUCAAAGAAAAAAAAAACUUGAGAACCAAGAAGUUUACUACAAAAUUGGAACCUUCUCUUGGGGAGGGGUCUUUCCUGGUGGCUCAGACUGCAAAGAAUCUGCCUGCAAUGCAGAAGACCCAGGUUCAGUCCCUGCAUUGGGAAGAUCCCCUGGAGAAGGGAAUGGCUACCCACUCUGGUGUUCUUGUCUGAAGAAUUCCAAGGACAGAGGAGCCUGGCAGGCUACAGUUCAUGGGGCUGCAAAAGAGUCGGAUACAACUGAGUGACUGUUACUUUUACUUUUCUCUCUAGACAACAACCACAAAGGCUCUCACCUUAGAUUAGAUUAAAGACACCAUCAAGGCAGGGUGAAACAUUAAAUAAGAUCUUACUAUCUGUGGAAGGAAAAUGUACAGAAAAACUUCACCUGGGGAAAUGUGUCAUGUAUCUGGGCAAGAUAUGACUUCUCCUUGGGGACCAAGGGAAUGGCAACCCACUCCAGUAUUCUUGCCUGGAGAAUUCCAUGGACAGAGGAGCCUGGAAGGCUACAGUCCAUGGGGUCGAAAAAAGUUGGACACGACUGAGCGACUAUCACUCGUUGGGGACCACAGAACUUAUCCAUUUAAACUGGGCAUCCAGGGAGAAGAUGCCAGUUAGGGAAUUCCUCCCUCCAGGCUUCAACAUCCUUUGCUCAGGAGUAUAGUCAGACCUCCAUAUCUGUGAUUCUGCAUCCGAAGGCAGAUUCAAUCAACUGAGGACUGAAAAUGUUAGGGAAAAAAAUUCAAAAAGUACAACAAUUUACAUAUCAUUUACAUUAUAUUAAGUAUUAUAAGUAGUCUAAAGAUGGUUUUGAACUGUGGUGCUGGAGAAGACUCUUUCGAGAGGACAUCAAGGAGAUCAAACCAGUCAAUUCUAAAGGAAAUCAACCCUGAAUAUUCAUUAGAAGGACUGAUGCUGAAGCUGAAGCUUUGGCCACCUGGUGUGAAGAGCCAGCUUGCUGGGAAAGACUGAGGGCAGGAGGAGAAAGGGGCAUCAGAGGAUAAGAUGGUUAGAAAGCAUCGCUCGCUGACUCAGUGGACAUGAAUUGGAGCAAACUCCAGGAGAUAGUGAAGGACAGGGGAGCCUAGCAUGCUGGAGUCCCUGAGGUCAAAAAGAGUUGGACACAACUUAGUGACUGAACAAGGAACAGAGACUGAUUUCUGCCCUACCUAACACAUUCUAUAAUUUCUGACUUAGUGACUAAAACAACAAAGAUGGUUUAAAUGGGAGGAUGUGCUGUAGAUUAUAUACAAAUACUAUCAUCAUUUUAUGUAAGGGACUUGAGCACCUUCAGAUUUUGGUAUGUGGAUGUGGGGAUGGAACCAGUUACCCACAGACCCCAAGGGAUGACUGUACAUCCCUGCAUCUCCCAGAAGUCAGUCAGAGAGGAAAGAACAGCAGCAGAACUUAUGUUUUAAGCCAUAGUCGGUUGAUGGGAGUGAGUGUUUAAAGAUUUUUAGGAAGGAAAAAAAGUUUUGUUACUCUUAUUUCCUAAGUUCCUCUGGUUUCCCUGUACUUCGCCUACUCAUCUAUUUGGUUGAUAAAUAGCCAGUCUUGUUACUCUAAUAAAAUGUAACCCAAAGACUCCAAAA
Molecule: RNA transcript, 3177 nt
Organism: Cervus elaphus (red deer)
Lineage: Eukaryota; Metazoa; Chordata; Mammalia; Artiodactyla; Cervidae
Exons: 3
Source: RefSeq, a predicted model, not a curated record